AGACCCGAAACCCGGUGAUCUAGCCAUGGGCAGGUUGAAGGUUGGGUAACACUAACUGGAGGACCGAACCGACUAAUGUUGAAAAAUUAGCGGAUGACCUGUGGCUGGGGGUGAAAGGCCAAUCAAACCGGGAGAUAGCUGGUUCUCCCCGAAAGCUAUUUAGGUAGCGCCUCGUGAAUUCAUCUCCGGGGGUAGAGCACUGUUUCGGCUAGGGGGCCAUCCCGGCUUACCAACCCGAUGCAAACUGCGAAUACCGGAGAAUGUUAUCACGGGAGACACACGGCGGGUGCUAACGUCCGUCGUGAAGAGGGAAACAACCCAGACCGCCAGCUAAGGUCCCAAAGUCAUGGUUAAGUGGGAAACGAUGUGGGAAGGCCCAGACAGCCAGGAUGUUGGCUUAGAAGCAGCCAUCAUUUAAAGAAAGCGUAAUAGCUCACUGGUCGAGUCGGCCUGCGCGGAAGAUGUAACGGGGCUAAACCAUGCACCGAAGCUGCGGCAGCGACGCUUAUGCGUUGUUGGGUAGGGGAGCGUUCUGUAAGCCUGUGAAGGUGUGUCGUGAGGCAUGCUGGAGGUAUCAGAAGUGCGAAUGCUGACAUAAGUAACGAUAAAGCGGGUGAAAAGCCCGCUCGCCGGAAGACCAAGGGUUCCUGUCCAACGUUAAUCGGGGCAGGGUGAGUCGACCCCUAAGGCGAGGCCGAAAGGCGUAGUCGAUGGGAAACGGGUUAAUAUUCCCGUACUUGGUGUUACUGCGAAGGGGGGACGGAGAAGGCUAUGUUGGCCGGGCGACGGUUGUCCCGGUUUAAGCGUGUAGGUGUGUGUUCCAGGUAAAUCCGGUUCACUUUAACACUGAGGCGUGAUGACGAGGCACUACGGUGCUGAAGUAACAAAUGCCCUGCUUCCAGGAAAAGCCUCUAAGCAUCAGGUAACAUCAAAUCGUACCCCAAACCGACACAGGUGGUCAGGUAGAGAAUACCAAGGCGCUUGAGAGAACUCGGGUGAAGGAACUAGGCAAAAUGGUGCCGUAACUUCGGGAGAAGGCACGCUGACACGUAGGUGAAGUGAUUUACUCACGGAGCUGAAGUCAGUCGAAGAUACCAGCUGGCUGCAACUGUUUAUUAAAAACACAGCACUGUGCAAACACGAAAGUGGACGUAUACGGUGUGACGCCUGCCCGGUGCCGGAAGGUUAAUUGAUGGGGUCAGCGCAAGCGAAGCUCCUGAUCGAAGCCCCGGUAAACGGCGGCCGUAACUAUAACGGUCCUAAGGUAGCGAAAUUCCUUGUCGGGUAAGUUCCGACCUGCACGAAUGGCGUAAUGAUGGCCAGGCUGUCUCCACCCGAGACUCAGUGAAAUUGAACUCGCUGUGAAGAUGCAGUGUACCCGCGGCAAGACGGAAAGACCCCGUGAACCUUUACUAUAGCUUGACACUGAACAUUGAGCCUUGAUGUGUAG
This 1450-nucleotide ribosomal RNA is filed under the name Salmonella enterica subsp. enterica serovar Berta. Its description in RNAcentral is "partial 23S ribosomal RNA". It matches the Rfam family "Bacterial large subunit ribosomal RNA", at positions 711 to 2141 of the family's 2925-position model. The record is from RNAcentral. Lineage: Bacteria; Pseudomonadati; Pseudomonadota; Gammaproteobacteria; Enterobacterales; Enterobacteriaceae. RNAcentral also lists the same sequence under 1 other name.